UACGGGGGGGGCAAGCGUUGUUCGGAAUUACUGGGCGUAAAGGGCUCGUAGGCGGCCACCUAAGUCAGACGUGAAAUCCCUCGGCUUAACCGGGGAACUGCGUCUGAUACUGGAUGGCUUGAGAUUGGGAGAGGGAUGCGGAAUUCCAGGUGUAGCGGUGAAAUGCGUAGAUAUCUGGAGGAACACCGGUGGCGAAGGCGGCAUCCUGGACCAACACUGACGCUGAGGAGCGAAAGCCAGGGGAGCAAACGGG
This 253-nucleotide ribosomal RNA is filed under the name uncultured bacterium. RNAcentral describes it as "partial 16S ribosomal RNA". It matches the Rfam family "Bacterial small subunit ribosomal RNA", at positions 524 to 776 of the family's 1533-position model. The record is from RNAcentral.